RNAcentral lists this ribosomal RNA (465 nucleotides) under uncultured bacterium. Its description in RNAcentral is "partial 16S ribosomal RNA". It matches the Rfam family "Bacterial small subunit ribosomal RNA", at positions 338 to 795 of the family's 1533-position model. The record is from RNAcentral.
CCUACGGGUGGCAGCAGUAGGGAAUCUUCCACAAUGGGCGAAAGCCUGAUGGAGCAACGCCGCGUGGGUGAAGAAGGUCUUCGGAUCGUAAAACCCUGUUGUUAGAGAAGAAAGUGCGUGAGAGUAACUGUUCACGUUUCGACGGUAUCUAACCAGAAAGCCACGGCUAACUACGUGCCAGCAGCCGCGGUAAUACGUAGGUGGCAAGCGUUAUCCGGAUUUAUUGGGUGUAAAGGGAACGCAGGCGGUCUUUUAAGUCUGAUGUGAAAGUCUGCGGCUAAACCGGAGUAGUGCAUUGGAAACUGGGAGUCUUGAGUGCAGAAGAGGUGGGUGGAACUCGUUGUGUAGCGGUGAAAUGCGUAGAUAUAAGGAAGAACUCCAGUGGCGAAAGCGGCUCACUGGUCUGUAACUGACGCUGAGGUUCGAAAGCGUGGGUAGCAAACAGGAUUAGAUACCCGGGUAGUC